GCCCCCGUAGUCCAAUUGGCAGAGGCGCUGGCCCGAGGAGCCAGAUGUGCGGGUUCGAAUCCCGCCGGGGGUA
Molecule: transfer RNA, 73 nt
Filed under: Actinomadura sp. HBU206391
Lineage: Bacteria; Bacillati; Actinomycetota; Actinomycetes; Streptosporangiales; Thermomonosporaceae
Description: tRNA-Leu
Rfam family: tRNA
About the family: Transfer RNA (tRNA) molecules are approximately 80 nucleotides in length.
Source: RNAcentral